UACAGAGGGUGCGAGCGUUAAUCGGAAUUACUGGGCGUAAGGCGUGCGUAGACGGUUUCGUAAGUCGGGUGUGAAAUCCCCGGGCUCAACCUGGGAAUUGCAUUCGAAACUGCGAGGCUAGGGUACGGAAGAGGGAAGCGGAAUUUCUGGUGUAGCGGUGAAAUGCGUAGAUAUCAGAAGGAACAUCAGUGGCGAAAGCGGCUUCCUGGUCCAGUACCGACGUUCAGGCACGAAAGCGUGGGGAGCAAACAGG
This 253-nucleotide ribosomal RNA is filed under the name uncultured bacterium. RNAcentral's name for it is "partial 16S ribosomal RNA". It matches the Rfam family "Bacterial small subunit ribosomal RNA", at positions 524 to 776 of the family's 1533-position model. The record is from RNAcentral.